UACGUAGGGGGCAAGCGUUGUCCGGAAUUAUUGGGCGUAAAGAGCGCGUAGGCGGUCCGAUAAGUCGGCUGUGAAAGUCAAGGGCUCAACCCUUGAAAGCCGGCCGAUACUGUCGGACUAGAGUCCGGAAGAGGCGAGUGGAAUUCCCGGUGUAGCGGUGAAAUGCGCAGAUAUCGGGAGGAACACCAAUGGCGAAGGCAGCUCGCUGGGACGGUACUGACGCUGAGACGCGAAAGCGUGGGGAGCGAACAGG
RNAcentral lists this ribosomal RNA (253 nucleotides) under uncultured bacterium. Its description in RNAcentral is "partial 16S ribosomal RNA". It matches the Rfam family "Bacterial small subunit ribosomal RNA", at positions 524 to 776 of the family's 1533-position model. The record is from RNAcentral.